UACGGAGGGGGCUAGCGUUGUUCGGAAUCACUGGGCGUAAAGCGUGCGUAGGCGGCUAUUCAAGUCAGAGGUGAAAUCCCAGGGCUCAACCUUGGAACUGCCUUUGAAACUAGGUAGCUGGAACACGGGAGAGGUGAGUGGAAUUCCGAGUGUAGAGGUGAAAUUCGUAGAUAUUCGGAAGAACACCAGUGGCGAAGGCGGCUCACUGGACCGUUGUUGACGCUGAGGCACGAAAGCGUGGGGAGCAAACAGG
This 253-nucleotide ribosomal RNA is filed under the name uncultured bacterium. Its description in RNAcentral is "partial 16S ribosomal RNA". It matches the Rfam family "Bacterial small subunit ribosomal RNA", at positions 524 to 776 of the family's 1533-position model. The record is from RNAcentral.